Molecule: ribosomal RNA, 443 nt
Filed under: uncultured bacterium
Lineage: Bacteria
Description: bacterial SSU rRNA
Rfam family: Bacterial small subunit ribosomal RNA
Source: RNAcentral
ACUCCUACGGGAGGCAGCAGUGGGAAUAUUGGACAAUGGGCGAAAGCCUGAUCCAGCCAUGCCGCGUGAGUGACGAAGGCCUUAGGGUUGUAAAACUCUUUUGGCGGGGACGAUAAUGACGGUACCCGCAGAAUAAGCCCGCCGUAUCAUUCGUGCCAGCAGCCGCGGUAAUACGAAGGGCGUAGCGUUGUUCGGAAUCACUGGGCGUAAAGCGCACGUAGGCGGACUGUCAGUUGGGGGUGAAAUCCCGGGCGUCACCUCGGAACUGCCUCCAAUACUGCCAGUCUUGAGUCCGAGAGAGGUGAGUGGAAUUCCUAGUGUAGAGGUGAAAUUCGUAGAUAUUAGGAAGAACACCAGUGGCGAAGGCGGCUCACUGGCUCGGUACUGACGCUGAGGUGCGAAGCGUGGGGAGCAACAGGAUUAGAUACCCUGGUAGGCUCUGC